AUUGAACGCUGGCGGCAGGCCUAACACAUGCAAGUCGAACGAGUGGCGGACGGGUGAGUCAUGUCUGUGAAACUGCCCGAUGGAUGGGGAUACCGACUGGAAACGGUAGCUCAUACCGCCUAGCAGCGGCUGGGCCCAGAUGGGAUUAGCUAGUAGGUGGGGUAACGGCUCACCUAGGCGACGAUCCCUAGCUGGUCUGAGAGGAUGACCAGCCACACUGGAACUGAGACACGGUCCAGACUCCUACGGGAGGCAGCAGUGGGGAAUAUUGCACAAUGGGCGCAAGCCUGAUGCAGCCAUGCCGCGUGUAUGAAGAAGGCCUUCGGGUUGUAAAGUACUUUCAGCGAGGAGGCGUUACUCGCAGAAGAAGCACCGGCUAACUCCGUGCCAGCAGCCGCGGUAAUUC
Molecule: ribosomal RNA, 406 nt
Filed under: uncultured bacterium
Lineage: Bacteria
Description: partial 16S ribosomal RNA
Rfam family: Bacterial small subunit ribosomal RNA
Source: RNAcentral